Molecule: long non-coding RNA, 400 nt
Organism: Vanessa tameamea
Lineage: Eukaryota; Metazoa; Arthropoda; Insecta; Lepidoptera; Nymphalidae
Exons: 3
Source: RefSeq, a predicted model, not a curated record
UUUUAUUUAUUCUUAUCGAGAUUGUAGGUGUAGUUACACUAACCAAAAUGUUGUUUCGCUAUGUUAUACUUUAUAUUACCAUUUAUUUUUACCACGCGGAUCAGUUAAAACUUCCUCGUUACGUGGUUGAACCAAACGUGAAGCCGGCAAUAUUUGGAUCUUAUAGUUAUGAUGUGAUAAAAGGAGAUUUCGUACUGCAAAAUAGCACUACAACUGACAUUAGCUUAACCGAUAUCAUUUUCAACAACACCUCGCCGUCAACAAGUGACGAUGAUAAUUUCAGAAAACAUGUGGCCGUUACCAAAACUAUAAAACCAUUAAAUUGGUGGACACGUGCAAGAAUGUUUUUAAGUAAUUCCACUCUUAAUAUUCUAACCAAUCAAACAAAAGUAAAUUAAUU